Molecule: unclassified non-coding RNA, 1637 nt
Filed under: Bombus terrestris (buff-tailed bumblebee)
Lineage: Eukaryota; Metazoa; Arthropoda; Insecta; Hymenoptera; Apidae
Description: misc RNA ENSBTSG00005028006.1
Source: RNAcentral
UGAUAACACGUAACAUUCGUUUGACCCAUUUCCCUCUUAGAGCCGAUAUUAUCGACGUAAAUCAGACGUUGGAAAUUUCGAGCAGUCCGCUCUGUAUAUUUGGCGUGCUGUAGGACCUGUAGAUUAAAGGAGGGGAAGGAAAAAAGGGGUUGAGGAAGGGAGAAACAAAGAUAGAAACCUCGGUGAGAGGCGUGCCAGAUAGAACCGACGCGAUGUUGAGAAAAUGAACAGACGCACGAAGGUGACAAAGGAAGGUAAAAACUCGUGUUGGAGGAAUCUCGUGGAAGAGGAAAGUACUUAUGUGUAUGUUGUACAGGAGUUCACACAUUGGAACACGAUGCGUUCUUUCCGCCAUGAUGGAAGCUCGGAUUAACAGAUUCUUUGAAAAUGUCCUGAAAGAUAACAAGAGGCGAAAGAAGAAAAAGCAGCGUUGCCACCAGUCGGAAUUGACAAAAUUAUCGGUACACUUCAGUGGAUAUCGUGGAAGCCGAGAGACAAUACAGCAACUUUUACCUUUGUCGAGAGUCGUCGUCUCAUCGAUGGCCAUUGUGUCACGUUCGAUGACAGAGACGUGUGUAUUGUAUACUAUGUACAUAACAUAUACGCUUUCACAUUCGAAAAUUGAAAAGGAAGCUUGAAAACAUGCGAGACUCAACUCCCUUUAGAAUGGAACGUCUUCAUAGGAAUGCGUAUUCACCAACAAUUGCACUAAAAUUUUCAUUAGAUUAGAAAAAAUGUAUCGGGUGUUUUGAAUGUGGAAUACAAAUUAAUCUGUAACAUUUUAAUAUUAAAUACAUGUCCAUAUUUCUAACAUUAAAGAUAUACAUAUAGCACUUUACUAUAGUUUACUAGUUAUAGUAGUUUAAAGUAUUUUAACACUUAAUGUAGAAAUUAAAUGAAAAAUGGAAUUUCCAAAUUCCAUAUAACACACACAUAAUACAUAUAUUCAAAACAGUAUUUUCAAUAAUUAGUCGUAUACUUUUUGUAAACUAUUGUAAAUCGUAAAUGUCCAUAUAAAAUUGAUAUUUCUUAAACGCUCUACAAAAAAUAAGAAACUUCAACAUUUUGAGGUUAGCAAGGAAUUCAUAUCACGAUUAUUUGCAAUUUGCCUCGGCCGCGAGAACAAUUUAUUUAUUAUCCGGCACGUUCCUUAAUCCAAUUUCAACAAAGUUGCGAAAUAUUGCCGGCUGUGAGCUAAAUUGUAAUCAAACGGGUGAUCGUUGCGUAUGAUACACGCGUUUGCAUGCAGGCGGGCAUAGUUCUAAAUUAAGGCGAUAACCAGUACUAUAUUUGGAUAUCCUCCAUCAACGUACAGCGAUAACGCUGGAAUCGUUCUCUUUGUCAAAACUUCCUACCAAUUCCUGAGCGAUGCAGAUUUUGACGCAAACACACACAGGUUCGUGCAUUCGCGAAGUCAUUGACUCCUGUUGAAAAAAAGAAGAGCAAAAAAACCCUGAAAAUAGUAACCAGCACAGGGUAAAGCAGGAAAUGUGCCACGUCCCACUUGGCAGCACUCCUGAUUUGGAAAUGUUGCAUACGUAAGCGCAAUAAAGGAAAUAGAAACCGAGCGAGUGAGGUUAGGUAAGCAGUGAGGAUGAACGAAACGGGAACCGCUCCUGAAGUCCAAUUAAAUUAAC